AUUUCUUCGGAAUGAAGUUUUAGUGACUGAGUGGCGGACGGGUGAGUAACGCGUGGGUAACCUGCCUCACACUGGGGGAUAACAGUUAGAAAUAGCUGCUAAUACCGCAUAAGCGCACAGUUCCGCAUGGAACAGUGUGAAAAACUCCGGUGGUGUGAGAUGGACCCGCGUCUGAUUAGCCAGUUGGCGGGGUAACGGCCCACCAAGGCGACGAUGGGUAGCCGAUUUAAGAGGAUGAUCGGCCACAUUGGGACUGAGAUACGGCCCAGACUCC
This 274-nucleotide ribosomal RNA is filed under the name uncultured Eubacteriales bacterium. Its description in RNAcentral is "uncultured Clostridiales bacterium partial 16S ribosomal RNA". It matches the Rfam family "Bacterial small subunit ribosomal RNA", at positions 72 to 339 of the family's 1533-position model. Lineage: Bacteria; Bacillati; Bacillota; Clostridia; Eubacteriales. The record is from RNAcentral.